GAUGAAGAACGCAGCGAAAUGCGAUACGUAAUGUGAAUUGCAGAAUUCAGUGAAUCAUCGAAUCUUUGAACGCAUAUUGCGCUCUCUGGUAUUCCGGAGAGCAUGCUUGUUUGAGUAUCAGUAAACACCUCAACUUCCAUAUCUUUUUUGAAAUGGGAGUUGGACUUGAGUGAUCCCAACGCUUUUCCUCACCGCAAAGUGGCGGGUUACUUGAAAUGCAGGUGCAGCUGGACUUUUCUCUGAGCUAUAAGCAUAUCUAUUUAGUCUGCCUAAAAAACAGAUUAUUACCUUUGCUGCAGCUAACAUAAAGGAGAUUAGUUCUUGUGCUGACUGAUGCAGGAUUCACAAAGACGGCUUCGGCCGACUUUGUAAACUCGAUCUCAAAUCAAGUAAGACUACCCGCUGAACUUAAGCAUAUCAAUAAGCGGAGGA
This 432-nucleotide unclassified non-coding RNA is filed under the name soil metagenome. Its description in RNAcentral is "partial contains 5.8S ribosomal RNA, internal transcribed spacer 2, and large subunit ribosomal RNA". The stretch from base 1 to 120 matches the Rfam family "5.8S ribosomal RNA", at positions 35 to 154 of the family's 154-position model. The record is from RNAcentral.